GGCUAUUUGCAUUGAAUCCGGUUUCUUCCCUCUGUGAUCGAAGAUGUUUGUCUGGAUGUUGACUUGAACUCAAAGGCUAAUAAUCCCUCAGGAAUCGUUCAAUCACCAACUUCUCCAGCUGAACCAGUGCCAGCCGAACAAGAGGCAAAUCCAACAAAUUCCCAUAAUGCUCAACCUCCGGCAGAUACGGCCCCUGAGCCUGCAGGCGCACACCAAACCGAUGUUCGUGUGGACGUGCCGUCCCUUAUAAUGCCAACUUCUCCACCUCCACUAACGCCAG
Eucalyptus grandis is the source of this 280-nucleotide long non-coding RNA. RefSeq lists it as uncharacterized. The transcript is spliced from 3 exons. NCBI's taxonomy places the organism in Eukaryota, Viridiplantae, Streptophyta, Magnoliopsida, Myrtales, Myrtaceae. The record is from RefSeq and is a predicted model, not a curated record.